UCCGCCCCACGCUCUCCCUGCCGCCGCCUCCUCGUCCUCCUCCCGCCUGUCCUUGGUCCACUCUUCCCUCAGCCGGCGCUCCACGGCCCUGUUUGGGGCUCGCCUGAGGGCUGGGCUCUGUAGACGCGGGGAUGGGCCAGGCGAGCCCCUGACCCCCGGAGGUAGCAGGUCCAGAGGAAUCAGCAGAGGCUUCCUGGAGGAGGUUUUUGUACCCCUAGGAGGACUGCGUCUUCCUCAUCUUUGUCUUCGGAAGAUAAAUACAAGGCCUGACACAUAGCAAGCAUUAGGGCUGCAAUAGAUAUCUCUGUCAUUCAUCUUUCUGGACAUGUGGAAGUGUAUCUGUUGAAUUAAUUCCUGGAAGCUGAAUGCCUGGGUCACAGGCUAAUAUCACAAAAUGAGGACAACCAGACAUUUAAUUCCUCCUGAUGGAAGUUCACAGUACUAUCUGAAUAAUUCACUAUACAAUCAAGCCUCUAGAUCUAACCUUGGUUGCCAGGAGCCAGUCUCCUGGACAACAGUGGAGAGGUUCCCAAGCCCUUCUUUUGCUCCUUGUGAGCCUCUCCCAGCCUGAUCCCACCUUACACAGAUGAGAAAACCGACUUGGCAAAGAAUCACCUGCCUACUUUUCAGCUGUGGGCCCUUGGACAGGGAACUUAGUCUCUGAGCCUGAUGUCAUCUUACACAGUCAAAACAAACCAUAAUGCUUGCUCCAGUGGCCCCUGACAUGUGCAUUCUCACCAAUGUUUGCUUCUCUUUUCAAAAAGAAUAAAAAGACCCAUCCUGGACCAAUGUU
Molecule: long non-coding RNA, 793 nt
Organism: Cebus imitator (Panamanian white-faced capuchin)
Lineage: Eukaryota; Metazoa; Chordata; Mammalia; Primates; Cebidae
Exons: 4
Source: RefSeq, a predicted model, not a curated record